GUGCAUCCCUUCCAGCUGGCAGUGUGAUGGAUGGCCCACCUGCGAGGACGAGAGUGAUGAAGUUGACUGUCCAGGAAAGUGCCCAACAGGAUGGCACCACUAUGAGGGCACAGCCAGCUGUUACAGGGUGUAUUUAAAUGGGGAGAACUACUGGGACGCUGUGCAGACAUGUCAGCGGGUGAACGGAUCCCUCGCCACCUUCACUGCAGACCAGGAGCUGAGGUUCAUCCUGGCUCAGGAGUGGGACUUGGAAGAGAAAACAUUUGUAAGGAACGACCUGCCCCGGUUCUGGGUCGGAUAUCAGUAUGUGAUCACCAAUCGAAAUCACUCCGUGGAAGGUCACUGGGAAGUAGCUUAUAAAGGUAGGCCUCCCAAAUUCCUGCUUAGUUCAGUGGCCCAUGGAAACUGUCUUAAAGCCUGAAUAUAAUUUGCAAGAACAACAUAGCUUCUUUUAGUGCUAGUGUUGAAUAGUGCAGGGGAACUGCUUGGCUUUACAAUGUGGCAACGAAAGAGUUUAAUACUCCAUACAUGUCUUAUUUUA
Long non-coding RNA from Neopelma chrysocephalum (saffron-crested tyrant-manakin), 541 nucleotides. RefSeq lists it as uncharacterized. The transcript is spliced from 3 exons. Lineage: Eukaryota; Metazoa; Chordata; Aves; Passeriformes; Pipridae. The record is from RefSeq and is a predicted model, not a curated record.